This 887-nucleotide ribosomal RNA is filed under the name uncultured Planctomycetota bacterium. RNAcentral describes it as "bacterial SSU rRNA". It matches the Rfam family "Bacterial small subunit ribosomal RNA", at positions 43 to 940 of the family's 1533-position model. The record is from RNAcentral. Lineage: Bacteria; Pseudomonadati; Planctomycetota.
CGUGGAUUAGGCAUGCAAGUCGAGCGAGAAGUUUACUUCGGUAAAUGGACAGCGGCGAAAGGGACAGUAAUGUGUAGGUACCUACCCCCCGAUCUGGGAUAGCUGCGGGAAACUGCAGGUAAUACCGGAUAAUGUCUUCGGACCAAAGGUGUGAUUCCGUCAGGGGAGGGGCCUGCAUCCUAUUAGCUUGUUGGUGAGGUAAUGGCUCACCAAGGCAACGAUGGGUAGCGGGUGUGAGAGCAUGACCCGCGUCAUUGGGACUGAGACACUGCCCAGAAAUCUACGGAUGGCUGCAGUCGAGAAUCUUCGGCAAUGGGCGAAAGCCUGACCGAGCGACGCCGCGUGCGGGAUGAAGGCCUUCGGGUUGUAAACCGCUGUCGUUGGGGAGGAAAUGCAAAAGGGUUAUCCCUUCUGUUUGACCGAUCCAAGGAGGAAGUACGGGCUAAGUUCGUGCCAGCAGCCGCGGUAAGACGAACCGUACGAACGUUAUUCGGAAUUACUGGGCUUAAAGGGUGCGUAGGCUGCACGGAAAGUUGGGUGUGAAAGCCCUCAGCUCAACUGAGGAAUUGCAUCCAAAACUGCCGUGCUUGAGGGAGACAGAGGUGAGCGGAACUCAAGGUGGAGCGGUGAAAUGCGUUGAUAUCUUGAGGAACACCGGUGGCGAAAGCGGCUCGCUGGGUCUCUUCUGACGCUGAGGCACGAAAGCUAAGGUAGCAAACGGGAUUAGAUACCCCGGUAGUCUUAGCUGUAAACGAUGAGCACUUGAUUGGAGGGUCCUCCAUAGCCUUCCAGUCGUAGCGAAAGUGUUAAGUGCUCCGCCUGGGGAGUAUGGUCGCAAGGCUGAAACUCAAAGAAAUCGACGGGGGCUCACACAAGCGGGGGAGGAU